AAUAGAUACCCCGGUAGUCCAUGCCGUAAACGAUGUCUACUAGCCGUUGGGGCCUUUGAGGCUUUAGUGGCGCAGCUAACGCGAUAAGUAGACCGCCUGGGGAGUACGGUCGCAAGACUAAAACUCAAAUGAAUUGACGGGGGCCCGCACAAGCGGUGGAGCAUGUGGUUUAAUUCGAUGCAACGCGAAGAACCUUACCUGGUCUUGACAUAGUAAGAACUUUCCAGAGAUGGAUUGGUGCCUUCGGGAACUUACAUACAGGUGCUGCAUGGCUGUCGUCAGCUCGUGUCGUGAGAUGUUGGGUUAAGUCCCGCAACGAGCGCAACCCUUUUCCUUAUUUGCCAGCGGGUUAAGCCGGGAACUUUAAGGAUACUGCCAGUGACAAACUGGAGGAAGGCGGGGACGACGUCAAGUCAUCAUGGCCCUUACGACCAGGGCUACACACGUGCUACAAUGGUCGGUACAAAGGGUUGCUACCUAGCGAUAGGAUGCUAAUCUCAAAAAGCCGAUCGUAGUCCGGAUUGGAGUCUGCAACUCGACUCC
RNAcentral lists this ribosomal RNA (543 nucleotides) under uncultured bacterium. RNAcentral's name for it is "bacterial SSU rRNA". It matches the Rfam family "Bacterial small subunit ribosomal RNA", at positions 777 to 1319 of the family's 1533-position model. The record is from RNAcentral.